Molecule: long non-coding RNA, 341 nt
Filed under: Parus major (Great Tit)
Lineage: Eukaryota; Metazoa; Chordata; Aves; Passeriformes; Paridae
Description: lncRNA (ENSPMJG00000013305.1)
Source: RNAcentral
CCCAUCCCAUCCCAUGGAUCCCAUCCCAUCCCAUCAUCUCAUCCCAUGGAUCCCAUUAUCCCAUGGAUCCCAUUAUCCCAUGGAUCCCAUUAUCCCAUGGAUCCCAUUAUCCCAUGGAUCCCAUCCCAUUAUCCCAUGGAUCCCAUUAUCCCAUGGAUCCCAUCCCAUCCCAUCAUCUCAUCCCAUCCUAUCCCAUUAUCUCAUGGAUCCCAUCCCAUGGAUCCCAUCCUAUCCCACGGAUCCCAUGGAUCUCAUGGAUCCCAUCCAUCCCAUCCCAUCCCAUCCCAUCCCAUCCCAUCCCAUCCCAUCCCAUCCCAUCCCAUCCCAUCCCAUCCCAUCCC